Non-coding RNA from Oryza nivara, 203 nucleotides. NCBI's taxonomy places the organism in Eukaryota, Viridiplantae, Streptophyta, Magnoliopsida, Poales, Poaceae. The record is from Rfam.
UUUAAAUAUAACCAUGAGUUUCCAUGCCCAACUUAAGUCAUCCGUUUUAUUUGAAAAUUUUUAUAAUUAGUAUUUUUGUUGCUAUGAGAUGAUAAAACGCGAAUAGUACUUUAUGUGUGACUUAUGUUUUUAAUUUUUUCAAAAAAAAUUCAAAUAAGACAGAAGAUAAAAGUUGGGCACAGAAACUUAUGGCUUCACUCAAA